Molecule: ribosomal RNA, 604 nt
Filed under: Pleurotus pulmonarius
Lineage: Eukaryota; Fungi; Basidiomycota; Agaricomycetes; Agaricales; Pleurotaceae
Description: eukaryotic LSU rRNA
Rfam family: 5.8S ribosomal RNA (bases 221-374)
Source: RNAcentral
CAGGAGUGUGCUGGCCUCUAGGGGCAUGUGCACGCUUCACUAGUCUUUCAACCACCUGUGAACUUUUGAUAGAUCUGUGAAGUCGUCCUUCAAGUCGUCAGACUUGGUUUGCUGGGAUUUAAACGUCUCGGUGUGACAACGCAGUCUAUUUACUUAACACACCCCAAAUGUAUGUCUACGAAUGUCAUUUAAUGGGCCUUGUGCCUAUAAACCAUAAUACAACUUUCAACAACGGAUCUCUUGGCUCUCGCAUCGAUGAAGAACGCAGCGAAAUGCGAUAAGUAAUGUGAAUUGCAGAAUUCAGUGAAUCAUCGAAUCUUUGAACGCACCUUGCGCCCCUUGGUAUUCCGAGGGGCAUGCCUGUUUGAGUGUCAUUAAAUUCUCAAACUCACAUUUAUUUGUGAUGUUUGGAUUGUUGGGGGUUGCUGGCUGUAACAAGUCGGCUCCUCUUAAAUGCAUUAGCAGGACUUCUCAUUGCCUCUGCGCAUGAUGUGAUAAUUAUCACUCAUCAAUAGCACGCAUGAAUAGAGUCCAGCUCUCUAAUCGUCCGCAAGGACAAUUUGACAAUUUGACCUCAAAUCAGGUAGGACUACCCGCUGAACUU